RNAcentral lists this ribosomal RNA (275 nucleotides) under Gilquinia squali. RNAcentral describes it as "partial 18S ribosomal RNA". It matches the Rfam family "Eukaryotic small subunit ribosomal RNA", at positions 1505 to 1764 of the family's 1831-position model. Lineage: Eukaryota; Metazoa; Platyhelminthes; Cestoda; Trypanorhyncha; Gilquiniidae. The record is from RNAcentral.
GACGGUGCCAACGAGUCUGACUUUCUGGCCUGAAAAGGUUGGGUAAACUGGUCAAUCACCGUCAUGACAGGGAUCGGGGCUUGGAAUUGUUCCCCGUGAACGAGGAAUUCCUAGUAAGUGCAAGUCAUAAGCUUGCGCUGAUUACGUCCCUGCCCUUUGUACACACCGCCCGUCGCUACUACCGAUUGAAUGGUUUAGUAAGGUCCUUGGAUUGGCGCCAUUGUAGUAGAUGCCGCAAGGUGUCUGCUCGACAGGUGCUGAGAAGACGACCAAAC